Molecule: ribosomal RNA, 996 nt
Filed under: uncultured bacterium
Lineage: Bacteria
Description: bacterial SSU rRNA
Rfam family: Bacterial small subunit ribosomal RNA
Source: RNAcentral
GGGGAAUAUUGCACAAUGGGGGAAACCCUGAUGCAGCGACGCCGCGUGAGGGAAGACGGUUUUCGGAUUGUAAACCUCUGUCUUUAGGGACGAAAAAAUGACGGUACCUAAGGAGGAAGCCACGGCUAACUACGUGCCAGCAGCCGCGGUAAUACGUAGGUGGCAAGCGUUGUCCGGAAUUACUGGGUGUAAAGGGAGCGUAGGCGGGGAGACAAGUUGAAUGUCUAAACUAUCGGCUUAACUGAUAGUCGCGUUCAAAGCUAUCACUCUUGAGUGCAGUAGAGGUAGGCGGAAUUCCUAGUGUAGCGGUGAAAUGCGUAGAUAUUAGGAGGAACACCAGUGGCGAAGGCGGCCUACUGGGCUGUAACUGACGCUGAGGCUCGAAAGCGUGGGUAGCAAACAGGAUUAGAUACCCUGGUAGUCCACGCCGUAAACGAUGAUUACUAGGUGUGGGGGGACUGACCCCUUCCGUGCCGGAGUUAACACAAUAAGUAAUCCACCUGGGGAGUACGACCGCAAGGUUGAAACUCAAAGGAAUUGACGGGGGCCCGCACAAGCAGUGGAGUAUGUGGUUUAAUUCGAAGCAACGCGAAGAACCUUACCAGGUCUUGACAUCGAGCGACGAACUUAGAGAUAAGUUUUUCCUUCGGGACGCGAAGACAGGUGGUGCAUGGUUGUCGUCAGCUCGUGUCGUGAGAUGUUGGGUUAAGUUCCGCAACGAGCGCAACCCUUAUCAUUAGUUGCUACGCAAGAGCACUCUAAUGAGACUGCCGUUGAUAAAACGGAGGAAGGUGGGGAUGACGUCAAAUCAUCAUGCCCCUUAUGACCUGGGCUACACACGUACUACAAUGGUGAUCAAACAGAGGGAAGCAACACAGCGAUGUGAAGCAAAUCCCGAAAAAUCAUCUCAGUUCAGAUUGCAGGCUGCAACUCGCCUGCAUGAAGUCGGAAUUGCUAGUAAUCGCGGAUCAGCAUGCCGCGGUGAAUACGUUCCCG